CCAGUCCUGUAAAACUGCCCCACCCCUAUCUCCCUUUGCUGACUCUCUUUUCAGACUAAGCCCACUUUUACCCAAGUGAAAUAAACAGCCUUGCUGCUCACACAAAGUCUAUUGGUGGACUCUCUUCACAUGGACACGCUUGACAUUUGGUGCCUUGACUCAGAUCAGGGGACCUCCCUUGGGAGAUCAAUCCCCUGUCCUGCUGCUGUUUGCUCUGUCAGAAUAUCCACCUAUGACCUUGGGUCCUCAGACCAGCCCAAGAAACACCUCACCAAUUUUAAAUCGGAGGAGACGCGUUUUAUCCGUAAACCCAAAACUCCAGCGCCGGUCACGGACUUGGGAAGACAUUCUUCCCUUGGUGUUUGAUCACC
This 371-nucleotide long non-coding RNA is filed under the name Homo sapiens (human). RNAcentral's name for it is "HSALNT0030598". The record is from RNAcentral. Lineage: Eukaryota; Metazoa; Chordata; Mammalia; Primates; Hominidae.